This 276-nucleotide ribosomal RNA is filed under the name uncultured Streptococcus sp. RNAcentral's name for it is "partial 16S ribosomal RNA". It matches the Rfam family "Bacterial small subunit ribosomal RNA", at positions 1107 to 1384 of the family's 1533-position model. The record is from RNAcentral. Lineage: Bacteria; Bacillati; Bacillota; Bacilli; Lactobacillales; Streptococcaceae.
CUUGUUAGUUGCCAUCAUUCAGUUGGGCACUCUAGCGAGACUGCCGGUAAUAAACCGGAGGAAGGUGGGGAUGACGUCAAAUCAUCAUGCCCCUUAUGACCUGGGCUACACACGUGCUACAAUGGUUGGUACAACGAGUUGCGAGUCGGUGACGGCGAGCUAAUCUCUUAAAGCCAAUCUCAGUUCGGAUUGUAGGCUGCAACUCGCCUACAUGAAGUCGGAAUCGCUAGUAAUCGCGGAUCAGCACGCCGCGGUGAAUACAUUCCCGGGCCUUGU